Molecule: small nuclear RNA, 111 nt
Organism: Nycticebus coucang (slow loris)
Lineage: Eukaryota; Metazoa; Chordata; Mammalia; Primates; Lorisidae
Source: RefSeq, a predicted model, not a curated record
ACAUAUUUUUAUGUCUAUGUAUGUAUAAAAUACAUGGCAUUCUGACAGAGAAGAUUAGCAUGGCCCCUGCACAAGGAUGACACGCAAAUUUGUGAAGCAGUCCGUAUUAAA